UACGUAGGAGACGAGCGUUGUCCGGAGUUACUGGGCGUAAAGGGUGCGCAGGCGGCCUGGCGCGUCGCGAGUGAAAUCUCCUGGCUCAACUGGGAGGGUGGUCGCGAGACGGCUGGGCUUGAGGCUCGGUGAGGGGCGUGGAAUUCCGGGUGGAGCGGUGAAAUGCGUAGGGAUCCGGAGGAACACCGACGGCGUAGGCAGCGCCCUAGACGAGACCUGACGCUCAGGCACGAAAGCGUGGGGAGCGAACAGG
RNAcentral lists this ribosomal RNA (253 nucleotides) under uncultured bacterium. RNAcentral describes it as "partial 16S ribosomal RNA". It matches the Rfam family "Bacterial small subunit ribosomal RNA", at positions 524 to 776 of the family's 1533-position model. The record is from RNAcentral.